UACAGAGGGUGCAAGCGUUAAUCGGAAUUACUGGGCGUAAAGCGUGCGUAGACGGUUACAUAAGUCGGGUGUGAAAGCCCCGGGCUCAACCUGGGAAUUGCAUUCGAGACUGCGUAGCUAGGGUGCGGAAGAGGGAAGCGGAAUUUCCGGUGUAGCGGUGAAAUGCGUAGAUAUCGGAAGGAACACCAGUGGCGAAGGCGGCAUCCUGGACCGGCAUUGACGCUGAGGCGCGAAAGCUAGGGGAGCAAACGGG
RNAcentral lists this ribosomal RNA (253 nucleotides) under uncultured bacterium. Its description in RNAcentral is "partial 16S ribosomal RNA". It matches the Rfam family "Bacterial small subunit ribosomal RNA", at positions 524 to 776 of the family's 1533-position model. The record is from RNAcentral.